CACGUAGGGGGCGAGCGUUGUCCGGAUUUACUGGGCGUAAAGAGCUCGUAGGCGGUUCAGUUAGUCGGGUGUGAAAUCUCCGGGCUCAACCCGGAGGGGCCACCCGAUACUGCUGUGACUCGAGUCCGGUAGGGGAGUGGGGAAUUCCUGGUGUAGCGGUGAAAUGCGCAGAUAUCAGGAGGAACACCGGUGGCGAAGGCGCCACUCUGGGCCGGUACUGACGCUGAGGAGCGAAAGCGUGGGUAGCAAACAGG
Molecule: ribosomal RNA, 254 nt
Filed under: uncultured bacterium
Lineage: Bacteria
Description: partial 16S ribosomal RNA
Rfam family: Bacterial small subunit ribosomal RNA
Source: RNAcentral